UUUCCGUAGGUGAACCUGCGGAGGGAUCAUUCAUAAUAAAGUGUUUUAUGGCACUUUUUAAAAAUCCAUAUCCACCUUGUGUGCAAUGUUAGAUCUCGUCAAUCUUGGCGAGAUUUUUAUACAUCAACUCAUUCUUUAACUAAUUUGUCUGAAAAAUAUUAUGAAUACUUAAUUCAAAGUACAACUUUCAACAACGGAUCUCUUGGCUCUC
Molecule: unclassified non-coding RNA, 211 nt
Filed under: plant metagenome
Description: partial contains small subunit ribosomal RNA, internal transcribed spacer 1, and 5.8S ribosomal RNA
Source: RNAcentral